Molecule: ribosomal RNA, 567 nt
Filed under: uncultured archaeon
Lineage: Archaea
Description: bacterial SSU rRNA
Rfam family: Archaeal small subunit ribosomal RNA
Source: RNAcentral
CCGCAUUCGCCCUUCGGGGCGCACCAGGCGCGAAACCUUUACAAUGCACGCAAGUGUGAUAGGGGGAUACUCAGUGCUUACGGCUCUGCUGUAGGCUUUUUUCGAUCGUAAAUAGAUCGGAGAAUAAGUGGUGGGAAAGACUGGUGCCAGCCGCCGCGGUAACCCCAGCGCCACAAGUGGUCAUCGCGAUUAUUGGGCCUAAAGCGUUCGUAGCCGGUUUGGUGCAUCUUUUGUGAAAUUGUACUGCUUAACAGUACAGCGUGCAGAAGACACGGCCAGACUCGAGACCGGGAGGCGUAUGAAGUAUUCCAUGGGGACUGGUAAAAUGGGAUAAUCCAUGGAAGACUACCGAUGGCGAAGGCAUCAUACGAGAACGGAUCUGACGGUGAGGAACGAAAGCUAGGGGAGCGAACCGGAUUAGAUACCCGAGUAGUCCUAGCCGUAAACGCUGUGAGCUAGGUGUCGCGUAUCUCACGAAGAUGCGCGGUGUCGAAAUGAAGAUGCUAAGCUCACCGCCUGGGAAGUACGGUCGCAAGACUGAAACUUUAAGGAAUUGGCGGGGGAGCA